RNAcentral lists this ribosomal RNA (426 nucleotides) under gamma proteobacterium SCGC AAA031-E09. RNAcentral's name for it is "bacterial SSU rRNA". It matches the Rfam family "Bacterial small subunit ribosomal RNA", at positions 359 to 777 of the family's 1533-position model. Lineage: Bacteria; Pseudomonadati; Pseudomonadota; Gammaproteobacteria. The record is from RNAcentral.
GAAUAUUGGACAAUGGGCGCAAGCCUGAUCCAGCCAUGCCGCGUGUGUGAAGAAGGCCUUCGGGUUGUAAAGCACUUUCAGCGGGGAGGAAGGNGAUUAGGUUAAUACCUUNGNGUNUUGACGUUACUGACAGAAUAAGCACCGGCUAACUCCGUGCCAGCAGCCGCGGUAAUACGGAGGGUGCAAGCGUUAAUCGGAAUUACUGGGCGUAAAGCGCGCGCAGGUGGUUUGUUAAGUCAGAUGUGAAAUCCCCGGGCUCAACCUGGGAACUGCAUUUGAAACUGGCAAGCUAGAGUAUGGUAGAGGGGGGUGGAAUUCCCGGUGUAGCGGUGAAAUGCGUAGAGAUCUGGAGGAACACCGGUGGCGAAGGCGGCCCCCUGGACCAAUACUGACGCUCAGGUGCGAAAGCGUGGGGAGCAAAGCAGG